RNAcentral lists this long non-coding RNA (1194 nucleotides) under Macaca mulatta (Rhesus monkey). RNAcentral describes it as "lncRNA (ENSMMUG00000040627.2)". The record is from RNAcentral. Lineage: Eukaryota; Metazoa; Chordata; Mammalia; Primates; Cercopithecidae.
AUUACAAAGUGAAAGUGUAACAUAGAGGGUAUAAAGAGAAAAAAAAUCUCCUUUUUGAGUGGUAUGAGAACAUUCUGACUAAUAAUUAUGGGAUUAGAAAGUAGUACUAACUCAAUCAUCACUCGAAUAACUGUUUUGUAUCUUCUUUGCUUUUUAAAGCAAUUGUCAUGUAAACAUUCAAGAGAGCAGAAGAAAAUAUUAGAGACAGCUAAAAAUUAAAAUGAGAGACAUUGAUGAAGCAACAAGCAGAAGAAUAAUUUAGAACAUCUAAGUAUAGUACCAGAAGGCAAUCAGUCAGUAGAUGGGACCAGAGUUCAAGCCCAGGCAGCUGUCCAACUCCAAGGCAUGCACUUUUUACACAAUGUUGCACAUUUAUAAAAGAGAAGUAUGCUGAGUACUUUUAUAAGAUCCAGCUGGGAUAGUAUAACACAAAUCUAUAGUGACUUACAUCAGGAUAACCUAGGAAUUGUAUAAGAUAAAGAGAAUUCAGUCAGGUGAUUUGAGAAAUAUAUUGAUGGAGGUUAAAGGAGUUUUGGAAUUUGAAGUAACAGAAAAAAAUAAUAUUUAAGAAAAUGAAGCAAAGUGAUUUGGAUGGGGAACAUGAGAGAAUUGGAAAAAGUAAGUCAAAGAAGUUAAGGAAGUUAAGAAACUUAAAGGUCAAUCUUUUGAAGGCUGCAUCUUCAGCUUCAAGCAAGGACACGUCCAUAAACUGUAUUAACAUCGUGAAGAAAGGGUUGUCGCCAUCACAGAGAUUUCCUAAGUCUGCCUACUGAAAAAUCUUAUGAGCUAUUCCAACCCAAAAGAGACAAGGAAGUUGAAGGCCUCGGAUAUUUCUUAGUACCAUUUUCCACCAGAAACAAUACCUGAUUCUAGGUUUGGAUCAGAACAUUUGCAAAAUGAAAGCUGAACAAGACUAAUGGGAUUGUAUCCAUGGUACCCAGGAGCCAAAUUUAAGUGGUUUCUAUUAGAUAAAAGAUGAGAUAAUCUGGACACUAAAAAUUGUUAGGACUGUAAUUGUUUAAAGUACUUUAAAAUAUAAAAAGAUUGAUCUGUCUAUUAUAUUCAGGUACAACAACAACAAAAAACCUUGUGGGUCAUAAUGAUGAUUGCUCCAACUCCAUUAGUUGGUGCACCAAUGAAUCAUUCUGAAAAUUGUCAGAUACUGGUUACAAAAGCAAAUAAUAAAAACUGAAC